CCUACGGGCGGCAGCAGUGGGGGAUAUUGCACAAUGGGGGGAACCCUGAUGCAGCGACGCCGCGUGGGUGAAGAAGCGCCUCGGCGCGUAAAGCCCUGUCAGCAGGGAAGAAAAUGACGGUACCUGAAGAAGAAGCCCCGGCUAACUACGUGCCAGCAGCCGCGGUAAUACGUAGGGGGCAAGCGUUAUCCGGAUUUACUGGGUGUAACGGGGGCGCAGACGGCGAUGCAAGCCAGGAGUGAAAGCCCGGGGCCCAACCCCGGGACUGCUCUUGGAACUGCGUGGCUGGAGUGCAGGAGGGGCAGGCGGAAUUCCUGGUGUAGCGGUGAAAUGCGUAGAUAUCAGGAGGAACACCGGUGGCGAAGGCGGUCUGCUGGACUGCAACUGACGUUGAGGCCCGAAAGCGUGGGGAGCAAACAGGAUUAGAUACCCCUGUAGUC
RNAcentral lists this ribosomal RNA (440 nucleotides) under uncultured bacterium. Its description in RNAcentral is "partial 16S ribosomal RNA". It matches the Rfam family "Bacterial small subunit ribosomal RNA", at positions 338 to 795 of the family's 1533-position model. The record is from RNAcentral.